This 465-nucleotide ribosomal RNA is filed under the name uncultured bacterium. RNAcentral's name for it is "partial 16S ribosomal RNA". It matches the Rfam family "Bacterial small subunit ribosomal RNA", at positions 28 to 507 of the family's 1533-position model. The record is from RNAcentral.
GACGAACGCUGGCGGCGUGCUUAACACAUGCAAGUCGAACGGAAAGGCCCUGCUUGCAGGGUACUCGAGUGGCGAACGGGUGAGUAACACGUGGGUGAUCUGCCCUGCACUUCGGGAUAAGCCUGGGAAACUGGGUCUAAUACCGGAUAGGAGCCAUUUUUAGUGUGAUGGUUGGAAAGUUUUUUCGGUGUAGGAUGAGCUCGCGGCCUAUCAGCUUGUUGGUGGGGUAAUGGCCUACCAAGGCGGCGACGGGUAGCCGGCCUGAGAGGGUGGACGGCCACAUUGGGACUGAGAUACCGCCCAGACUCCUACGGGAGGCAGCAGUGGGGAAUAUUGCACAAUGGGCGCAAGCCUGAUGCAGCGACGCCGCGUGGGGGAUGACGGCCUUCGGGUUGUAAACUCCUUUCGCUAGGGACGAAGCUUUUUGUGACGGUACCUAGAUAAGAAGCACCGGCUAACUACGUG